UACCGGCGGCUCGAGUGGUGGCCACUAUUACUGGGCUUAAAGCGUUCGUAGCUGGUCUGUUAAGUCUCUGGGGAAAUCUACUGGCUUAACCAAUAGGCGUCUCAGGGAUACUGGCAGACUAGGGACCGGGAGAGGUGAGGGGUACUCCAGGGGUAGGAGUGAAAUCCUGUAAUCCUUGGGGGACCACCUGUGGCGAAGGCGCCUCACCAGAACGGCUCCGACAGUGAGGGACGAAAGCUGGGGGAGCAAACCG
This 253-nucleotide ribosomal RNA is filed under the name uncultured archaeon. Its description in RNAcentral is "partial 16S ribosomal RNA". It matches the Rfam family "Archaeal small subunit ribosomal RNA", at positions 474 to 726 of the family's 1478-position model. The record is from RNAcentral.